CGCUACACUCGCAAUAACAUCUGCUAACCAUGUGUAUGUGACCAAUACAAUUUGAUUUGAUUUGAUGUGAAUUAUUGAGUUUGAAAUUCAAGAUGGAUGUCUUCCCUGACCCCUGCAUGAGUUUUUCUUGGUAUGGCCAUCGAAAUGCGGCGAUGGUAAACAGCCAAACGUGCUUACAGCUUCCCCCGCGGUCUCCGCUGCACGGACUCCUGUCCUGCACAUCACUUGAGAACAUUCCUGACGCGAACGAGUUCCCGGGUUGACCGUCCAGGACUAGUGUUGGGCUGACAACAACAGGAACACUUUGCUGCACAACAAGUGACGUUUUUAAGAACGUUUUUCCUCUGGAUAAUUUGUAAUGUCCCAGAUUCGUUUUGCCCCCUAAAGCUAUGAUACAAUUGAAAGAAAAAUUGGAGGAAAAUUAUCAAUUUUACACAGGAAUCUCCUUGCAAUUAUUUAGCCACAAAUAGCAAUCAAAAGUCAACCUGGUGGAAGACAGUCAACAAAGUCGGGGUGGGAUACAGAGCGGUGGCAGGCCUAAUCAAUGUGACAAUUACCAUUCGAUUUGAAUCUGGGGAAUGAUAGGCCUGAACACGAGCUGUGGGUUGCUUUUAACACCCUGCUUUCACUCAAGGGAUUUUCCUUACAGCAAGAUUAAGUAUAAAAGGAAAAUGUGAUAAAAGAAAAUGGGUUAUUUAAAGUUUCGCCCUGUAGAUGUCAGUCUCAGAUGUCAGUCUCAAAU
Molecule: long non-coding RNA, 742 nt
Filed under: Salmo salar (Atlantic salmon)
Lineage: Eukaryota; Metazoa; Chordata; Actinopteri; Salmoniformes; Salmonidae
Description: lncRNA (ENSSSAG00000099014.1, ENSSSAG00075023128.1)
Source: RNAcentral